Molecule: RNA transcript, 1902 nt
Organism: Mastomys coucha (southern multimammate mouse)
Lineage: Eukaryota; Metazoa; Chordata; Mammalia; Rodentia; Muridae
Gene: Trmt5
Gene name: tRNA methyltransferase 5
Exons: 6
Source: RefSeq, a predicted model, not a curated record
AGACUGCUAAGUAAAUCAGGGAGCCGCUUCCCCUAGCCCCAAGCGCCCGGGCUGAGCGACUUCAGGGGCGGAGCUACGGGCCUGGCCCUUCCGGGCUCCCGUAGCAAAUCGCGGCCCGGAAGAGAGUUGCGAGUCCGCAGGGUCCGACUGCACUGCUGCCUUCGCGGCCAACAGUGAUGACGUCACCACCCGCGGACGACCCAUUUCCGAGCCGCUCCAGAGCAUGAGAAUCUUAUGGAAGCCGUUUGGAUUCUCAAGAAGACUUCUGCAAGUGGAAUGGUGGUGUCACCACAGUGAGUCUCCAGCGUUGUUUACACUGAUACCCAGACUUAGGAAAGCACCUACUGUGUUUUUGUUGGGCCAGAGACAAGGAUUCUCAACCAUGCCAGAAAUAGAAGCAAGCGUGAGAGACAGUGAAUUAUUUUCACCACCCUCUUAUGUUCGAGGAAUGACAGAACUUGAUAGGACAGCUUUUAAAAAGACGGUGUCCAUCCCUGUGCUUAAAGCAAGGAAAGAAGUAGUCAACAGAUUGAUGCGAGCCCUCAGGAGAGUAGCCCUGCAGCGCCCGGGCAUAAAGCGUGUGAUUGAGGAUCCCAAGGAUGAAGACAGUAGGCUGGUCAUGUUGGAUCCCUACAGGGUGCUUACCGUUGAUUCCUUUGACAAAGGAGAACUCAGUGUUUUAAAAGAACUUGAUGUCAGCCCACAGUUAUCCCAGUACAACUUGGAACUAACAUAUGAAAAUUUUAAGUCAGAAGAGAUUUUGAGAGCUGUGCUUCCUGAGGGUCAAGACGUGACCUCUGGAUUCAGCAGGGUUGGCCAUAUUGCACACCUGAAUCUCCGAGACCAUCAGCUGCCAUUCAAGCAUUUAAUUGGCCAAGUCAUGGUUGACAAAAACCCAGGAAUCACCUCAGCAGUAAAUAAAACCAGCAACAUCGACAGUACUUACCGAACUUUCCACAUGGAAGUGCUGUGUGGGGAGGAGAAUAUGCUGACCAAGGUUCGAGAAAACAACUACACAUAUGAGUUUGAUUUCUCUAAAGUCUACUGGAAUCCUCGUCUCUCUACUGAACAUGGCCGGAUCACUGAACUUCUCAACCCUGGAGAUGUCUUGUUUGAUGUUUUUGCUGGGGUUGGGCCCUUUGCCAUUCCAGCAGCAAAGAAAAACUGCACGGUGUUUGCCAAUGAUCUCAAUCCUGAGUCCCAUAAAUGGCUGUUGCACAACUGUAAACUGAAUAAAGUUGACCAGAAAGUGAAAGUCUUUAACAUGGAUGGGAAAGACUUCCUCCAAGGGCCAGUCAGAGAAGAGCUGAUGCUUCGGCUAGGACUGUCAACUGAAGCAAAACCCUCUGUCCACAUUGUCAUGAACUUGCCAGCUAAGGCCAUCGAGUUUCUCAGUGUUUUUAGAUCACUUUUGGAGGGGCAGCCAUGCAGCACGGAGCUCCUCCCCACGGUGCACUGUUACUGCUUCUCCAAAGACAGCGAUCCUGCUAAGGAUGUUCGACAUCGGGCAGAAGCUGUGCUGGGCAUUCCCUUGGAGGCCAGCAGUUCAGUUCACCUCGUCAGGAAUGUGGCCCCUAACAAGGAGAUGCUGUGCAUCACCUUCCAGAUUCCUGCUGCUGCACUCUACAGGAACCAAGGCCCUAGUCAACAGAGUGACCAAGAGCCACCCCUUAAACGGCAGAAGACAGGUGAUCCCUUCUCAGGAGAACCACAGAUCGCAUCAGAUUCUUAAUUUGAAAUGUUUCCUCCAUCUCCCCAGUAGACUUUAUGUAAAGAAAUACAACAUGUUCUGUGAAACUCAGGGCUUGGAACUCUGUCCUUUUGCUUCGGCUUUCCAGCUGUUGGGAUUUCCAAUGUGCACCGCUGUUAUUCACCAUAGUCAGAUGGCUCAGUGGGUGAAGG